Molecule: non-coding RNA, 88 nt
Filed under: bovine gut metagenome
Description: TPP riboswitch (THI element)
Rfam family: TPP riboswitch aptamer (THI element)
About the family: Vitamin B(1) in its active form thiamin pyrophosphate (TPP) is an essential coenzyme that is synthesised by coupling of pyrimidine and thiazole moieties in bacteria. The previously detected thiamin-regulatory element, thi box was extended, resulting in a new, highly conserved RNA secondary structure, the THI element, which is widely distributed in eubacteria and also occurs in some archaea.
Source: RNAcentral
AACAGGGAGCUUGUAUAACAGGCUGAGAGGAAGGUAGCCCUUCGACCUAUUACCUGAUUUGGAUAAUGCCAACGUAGGGAUUUGCUAU